AUUUCGAAUCCUUUGCACUGCUCAAUACUCUGUAGAAGAAAAGGAGCCGCCCCUCCCUCUCUCCGCCUCCAAAUGGGAACCUUUUCGCAAGAAGAAGGUCGUCAUGAGGGUCGGCUACGUCGGUACCGGCUACAGAGGUCUUCAGUUGCAGCGAGAUGAACACGAACUAUCUACUAUUGAAAAAGAACUGGAAACUGCAAUUUUCAAGGCUGGAGGAAUCCGUGACAGAAACUACGAGAAUCU
Molecule: long non-coding RNA, 243 nt
Organism: Hibiscus syriacus
Lineage: Eukaryota; Viridiplantae; Streptophyta; Magnoliopsida; Malvales; Malvaceae
Exons: 3
Source: RefSeq, a predicted model, not a curated record